CCCACACCUGGGCGUAGGUGGGUGUUCGACCAGAGAAGAGAAAGAAGGGGGAAACCCCUUCUCAAACCCUAAUCGACCAAAUUGGAUGGAUUCUGGCUGAAAUCGAACUUGCAUGAACAAGAUUCUUGAUUGUUCAACUCUGUAAAACACAUGGAAUCCCAAUUGACAUGGACUCAAGAAUGGAAGGCUAACGGAUCAAGGGUAAAUAAAGAAGCUAUGCACAACUCGGACACACGAUGUAUUGCACGUAUCUCUACCACUACUAUCGAAGAUAAGCAUGCAUUGAUCGAGCCCCAAAUUAAUGAUUGUACGGGAAGAACGGCCACAUAGUCUGAUUUAUGUAUUGUCUUGAAGUGUUACUUUAAUGUGGUUAUUGUUAAUCCCUUUUUUGUAAAUGUUUAUAAUUUGUAUUUGAGCUUUUAAAUAAGUAAUGGGUCUAAAUAAGAAAGAAAAUUUUUGG
Long non-coding RNA from Helianthus annuus (common sunflower), 460 nucleotides. RefSeq lists it as uncharacterized. NCBI's taxonomy places the organism in Eukaryota, Viridiplantae, Streptophyta, Magnoliopsida, Asterales, Asteraceae. The record is from RefSeq and is a predicted model, not a curated record. The transcript is spliced from 3 exons.